UCGAGAGGUGGUCCAAGGUUACAUA
Molecule: small RNA, 25 nt
Filed under: Bombyx mori (domestic silkworm)
Lineage: Eukaryota; Metazoa; Arthropoda; Insecta; Lepidoptera; Bombycidae
Description: ovarian small RNA-28365
Source: RNAcentral